This 467-nucleotide ribosomal RNA is filed under the name uncultured bacterium. RNAcentral's name for it is "bacterial SSU rRNA". It matches the Rfam family "Bacterial small subunit ribosomal RNA", at positions 29 to 531 of the family's 1533-position model. The record is from RNAcentral.
AACGAACGCUGGCGGCAUGCCUAACACAUGCAAGUCGGAACGAAGCCUUCGGGCGUUAGUGGCGCACGGGUGGCGUAACACGUGGGAAUCUGCCCUUCGGUUCGGAAUAACAGUUAGAAAUGACUGCUAAUACCGGAUGAUGACGUAAGUCCAAAGAUUUUAUCGCCGAAGGAUGAGCCCGCGUAGGAUUAGGUAGUUGGUAGGGUAAUGGCCUACCAAGCCGACGAUCCUUAGCUGGUCUGAGAGGAUGAUCAGCCACACUGGGACUGAGACACGGCCCAGACUCCUACGGGAGGCAGCAGUGGGGGAAUAUUGGACAAUGGGCGAAAGCCUGAUCCAGCAAUGCCGCGUGAGUGAUGAAGGCCUUAGGGUUGUUAAAGCUCUUUUACCUAGGGAUGAUAAUGACAGUACCUGGAGAAUAAGACUCCGGCUAACUCCGUGCCAGCAGCCGCGGUAAAUAGCGUACU